UCACUUACCUGGACGGGGUCAAUGGUCGAUCAAGAAGGUCCAUGGCCUAGGUUGGUGACCUCCAUUGCACUUAGGAGGGGUGCCCGCCUAAGGUCGGCCCAAGUGGUCGAGCCUACGUCAUAAUUUGUGGCAGUGGAGGCCAGCGUUCGCGCGGCCUCUU
RNAcentral lists this small nuclear RNA (160 nucleotides) under Helianthus annuus (common sunflower). RNAcentral's name for it is "U1 spliceosomal RNA". It matches the Rfam family "U1 spliceosomal RNA". Rfam says of the family: U1 is a small nuclear RNA (snRNA) component of the spliceosome (involved in pre-mRNA splicing). Its 5' end forms complementary base pairs with the 5' splice junction, thus defining the 5' donor site of an intron. There are significant differences in sequence and secondary structure between metazoan and yeast U1 snRNAs, the latter being much longer (568 nucleotides as compared to 164 nucleotides in human). The record is from RNAcentral. Lineage: Eukaryota; Viridiplantae; Streptophyta; Magnoliopsida; Asterales; Asteraceae.